RNAcentral lists this ribosomal RNA (301 nucleotides) under uncultured bacterium. RNAcentral describes it as "partial 16S ribosomal RNA". It matches the Rfam family "Bacterial small subunit ribosomal RNA", at positions 509 to 809 of the family's 1533-position model. The record is from RNAcentral.
CAGCAGCCACGGUAAUACGAAGGGGGCUAGCGUUGUUCGGAUUUACUGGGCGUAAAGCGCACGUAGGCGGACUUUUAAGUCAGGGGUGAAAUCCCGGGGCUCAACCCCGGAACUGCCUUUGAUACUGGAAGUCUUGAGUAUGGUAGAGGUGAGUGGAAUUCCGAGUGUAGAGGUGAAAUUCGUAGAUAUUCGGAGGAACACCAGUGGCGAAGGCGGCUCACUGGACCAUUACUGACGCUGAGGUGCGAAAGCGUGGGGAGCAAACAGGAUUAGAUACCCCGGUAGUCCCUGUCUCUUAUAA